AGAGUUUGAUCCUGGCUCAGAUUGAACGCUGGCGGCAGGCCUAACACAUGCAAGUCGAGCGGUAGAGAGAAGCUUGCUUCUCUUGAGAGCGGCGGACGGGUGAGUAAUGCCUAGGAAUCUGCCUAGUGGUGGGGGAUAACGUUCGGAAACGGACGCUAAUACCGCAUACGUCCUACGGGAGAAAGCGGGGGACCUUCGGGCCUCGCGCCAUUAGAUGAGCCUAGGUCGGAUUAGCUAGUUGGUGAGGUAAAGGCUCACCAAGGCGACGAUCCGUAACUGGUCUGAGAGGAUGAUCAGUCACACUGGAACUGAGACACGGUCCAGACUCCUACGGGAGGCAGCAGUGGGGAAUAUUGGAC
This 359-nucleotide ribosomal RNA is filed under the name uncultured bacterium. Its description in RNAcentral is "bacterial SSU rRNA". It matches the Rfam family "Bacterial small subunit ribosomal RNA", at positions 8 to 369 of the family's 1533-position model. The record is from RNAcentral.